AUACGUAGGGAGCGAGCGUUGUCCGGAAUUACUGGGUGUAAAGGGAGCGUAGGCGGGAGUGCAAGUCAGAUGUGAAAUACAUGGGCUCAACCCAUGGGCUGCAUUUGAAACUGCAUUUCUUGAGUGAAGUAGAGGUAAGCGGAAUUCCUGGUGUAGCGGUGAAAUGCGUAGAUAUCAGGAGGAACACCGGUGGCGAAGGCGGCUUACUGGGCUUUUACUGACGCUGAGGCUCGAAAGCGGGGGGAGCAAACAGGAUUAGAUACCCUGGUAGUCCACGCUGUAAACGAUGAUUACUAGGUGUGGGGGGACUGACCCCUUCCGUGCCGCAGUUAACACAAUAAGUAAUCCACCUGGGGAGUACGGCCGCAAGGUUGAAACUCAAAUGAAUUGACGGGG
RNAcentral lists this ribosomal RNA (396 nucleotides) under uncultured bacterium. RNAcentral's name for it is "partial 16S ribosomal RNA". It matches the Rfam family "Bacterial small subunit ribosomal RNA", at positions 523 to 918 of the family's 1533-position model. The record is from RNAcentral.